RNAcentral lists this ribosomal RNA (320 nucleotides) under Enterococcus hirae. Its description in RNAcentral is "bacterial SSU rRNA". It matches the Rfam family "Bacterial small subunit ribosomal RNA", at positions 392 to 704 of the family's 1533-position model. Lineage: Bacteria; Bacillati; Bacillota; Bacilli; Lactobacillales; Enterococcaceae. The record is from RNAcentral.
CAACGCCGCGUGAGUGAAGAAGGUUUUCGGAUCGUAAAACUCUGUUGUUAGAGAAGAACAAGGAUGAGAGUAACUGUUCAUCCCUUGACGGUAUCUAACCAGAAAGCCACGGCUAACUACGUGCCAGCAGCCGCGGUAAUACGUAGGUGGCAAGCGUUGUCCGGAUUUAUUGGGCGUAAAGCGAGCGCAGGCGGUUUCUUAAGUCUGAUGUGAAAGCCCCCGGCUCAACCGGGGAGGGUCAUUGGAAACAGGGAGACUUGAGUGCAGAAGAGGAGAGUGGAAUUCCAUGUGUAGCGGUGAAAUGCGUAGAUAUAUGGAGG